This 254-nucleotide ribosomal RNA is filed under the name uncultured bacterium. RNAcentral describes it as "partial 16S ribosomal RNA". It matches the Rfam family "Bacterial small subunit ribosomal RNA", at positions 524 to 776 of the family's 1533-position model. The record is from RNAcentral.
CACGUAGGGUGCGAGCGUUGUCCGGAAUUAUUGGGCGUAAAGAGCUCGUAGGCGGUGUGUCGCGUCGGCCGUGAAAACCUGCAGCUUAACUGUGGGCUUGCGGUCGAUACGGGCAUCACUGGAGUUCGGCAGGGGAGACUGGAAUUCCUGGUGUAGCGGUGAAAUGCGCAGAUAUCAGGAGGAACACCGAUGGCGAAGGCAGGUCUCUGGGCCAUUACUGACACUGAGAAGCGAAAGCAUGGGGAGCGAACAGG